RNA transcript from Triticum aestivum (bread wheat), 13964 nucleotides. RefSeq lists it as uncharacterized. The record is from RefSeq and is a predicted model, not a curated record. The transcript is spliced from 8 exons. Lineage: Eukaryota; Viridiplantae; Streptophyta; Magnoliopsida; Poales; Poaceae.
CCCACGCAGUCGUCCGUCUUCCGCCGCCGUCUCCAAGAACACAAAGCAAUUCGCCGCCGCCGCCGCCGCCGCCCCCUCAACCCCAUCCUCUCCCGAUCUUUUCCCUCUCUCACACCCCGUCGCUCCCGCCGUCGGUCGAUUGAGUGUUUCCAGAAUUCUUCGUCCGCCGUCCCUCCCCGCACUCACGCACGCGCACGCCUGGUUCGUGUACGGCUCAGAGCGGAGCAGGGGAUCGAUUGAUGCGAGGUUCGGCUUCCAAUCCAUCCAGGACGCCGGUCACCGAGGGGAGAGUCCAGAUUGUCCACGCGAAACCCUAGAUGCGGCGCGCGUACCAUCUCCGCGGCCUCGCCCAGUUCUUGCUCGCCUUAGCUCGCGGAGAUGGAGCAUGACGCGCCGCCCGUCCCCUCGCACCAGGCCCAGGACGACGGCACGGAGCCCCUUCCCCCUACGGCGCCGCCUCGGUGCAGCUGCUCGUGCGCGACCCUCAACUACGACGCGGUUGGAGGUGCCCGGCGACGACCUUGGCACCUGCUCCCGCGACCACAGUCACUGCGUCCACAAGAAAGCCGCAUGGAUUGGGGAUAUGUACGUCGGUUUGGGUCUAGAGGGGCAAUCUUUGAGCAUUUGUUUCAACUAUCGGGGAUCUCAAGUUCACAUGGAUCGCCCUAUGAUCAAGUUUCAUUCUGGUGCUAUGAUGAUUGUGACAGAAGAUGUUUGCUGCAGAAGCAAUCGCUAUGUUUCAACUCCAAUAUUAAAAAUCAAUGCACCUGAAUUACUACACAAUUUUUCUCAUCUGGAACUGCGCUUAUAAGGUGUUUGGUCUGAAAGCUAUGCUCCUCAAUACAAUGUGAUAAAAGGUUCAUGAAAUCAUCAGGUAUGGAAAUGCUUGACCGUUUUUGUAAAUUACUUAGUACAAUAUUAUCAGUUUGUUUUUUGCAUUAUUUUCCCAGUUCUCUUGCAGUACUAUUCAACAACCUAUCUUCCUGCCUAUACUAGAUAAAAGAGGGUUUCUGUUAGUUAUUUUUUCCACUACCGAAGCAACAACUUAUCUUCCUACCUACCAGAUAUACUACUCCUUGAUUGCUUAGCUCCUGGCUUAAGAAGCUCCACCAUUAUUUUAUAUGAUAUUAAAAAAAUGAUUUCUAACUUCGUUGAAAGACACGCACAGUUCUGAUUUUCUGGGGUCAAUGUUCAUUUCUAGAGGCAAAUACUCUCAGAUUUCUUAGUGAACUAUAAUCCCAUCUACAUAAUCCCCCUUGAUAUAGUUCCCUUUAUUUGCACGACACAAUCUAGCAUAUGACAGUUCUGAUUUGGAUUGUGCGUGUUUCUCCAAAAACUAGGAUUAUAUGCCUGAGAACAAACAAAUAACGUUAUAAACUUACCUCAAAGCCUGUGGGUUGACUGAAGCUUGAUAAAUAGUUUCAGAUGCACUAUGGUCUCGUAACAAUAGAAAUAAGCUUCGAGGGAAAGAGAACCAUAAGUAUAGGUGACUGCAUACUAGAAGAUAUGUAAUCGUGUUGCACUAUAGUGUCUUUAUAGAAGGCGACAAAAUCAGAGAGAUCCUAAAUUUGGUUUUCUGUUCUUCUCAGUUAAGAAAAGAAACAUUAACUCUUUAUCAGUAAGGGAAUAUGCCUUAUUAGCAUUCUCUUAUGGUGGUUAUUAUUGCUCAACGUUGUGAGGAAAAAGAAGAGUAUUCAGAUUUUUCUAUUUAUGGUUAUAUCUUUUGGAUAAACUAUAGAAGGGUAAACUGCGAAGAAGAAACAUAACGACCACCAGUAGUUAUAUCUUUAUUUUGAAUUAAACUAAAGUUGCCAUGAUAGCAAUAUUUUAGAAUAUUCAGAUUUUUCAAUAUUAUGGUGAUUAUAUCUUUUGCACAUUAACUCUGAAACUGAACUAUUUAUGUGGGGCUAGAGAAGCGUAAUUUCAAUACAAACUGCAAUUGCUUGGGUAAGAGAAAUCAACUCAAUACUGGAAUUUUCCAUAUGAUGUAGUAAGCGGGGGCGUACCAUUGUAAAUCGAUGUACGGUGAAGGCUAGCCGCAUCUUUGGCAUGUGGUCAAACCCGACAAGCUGCAACUAUGUGGAGCAUCCACAUUACUGCCACCACAUGCUUGCUAAAAUAGUUAAUCCGUUCGUCCCUGUACAUCGGCCACAUCUUCGACGAGCAUGCCUGAUGGCAAAAUCGGGCAACUAUUAUCGUAUUGAGUAUCCAGAGAGGAUAACCGUCAUGAAAAUCACUUCAUGGAUCGAUGUGCCCAUCAUCAUGGCUGGUAGCAGAUGAUGCAUUAUUGGAGCUUUAUACUGUAUGACUAUUCCACGCGGUCUUGUUUGCAUCAAAAGCGUGGCCCACUUUGGAUAAGAAUACACCAACCAUUUUGGUAAUGGGCAUCUCAACAGUUCUGUUUGGGCCUCAUUCCCCUAAUACGCUAGUAAUUGUCUCCUUUUGUCUCAAUCCCAAACACUCCAUGAUCUAAGAGAGGGAGUGCUAGCAGCCAUGGCGGCAGUGUCCCCUCCGGCCGUUCAUGCAACUUGAGAGGCUCUAGCGAUGAUGCGUAAGAGGCAUCAGCAUCACUAAGUUUGCCACCAUCUAGCCACAACGAUAAUGCGACAGAGCAUAUAGUGGAGGGCAGAGCAAGACAGUCGAGGGAGAUGGCUCAUCAAAAGAAUCCACAACACGUGGAUGACAAGUGUAGUAGAGAAGAGGAUGAGGGGGAAUCACUAGGGAAGCCAAAGGAAGCAUAUAGUGGAGGGCAGAGCAAGACAGUCGAGGGAGAUGGCUCAUCAAAAGAAUCCACAACACGCGGAUGACAAGUGUAGUAGAGAAGAGGAUGAGGGGGAAUCACUAGGGAAGCCUAAGGGGACAAGCCAAGUGAGGUAGCCUCAUGUAAUGAACAAGGCGGGGAAGCCGCAGGUGAUGACGAGCUUGAUAAAGAAGCCAUUAGAGGUAGAAGAAACUUCAAUCCCUAGGAAGUAGCGAAGAGGACCAAGAUUAGACAUAAGAAACCAACUAUGACGAGCCUUCACAAAGGCAAAUGUACUUAGAGCCAUUGCCAGUGUUGUCGACAUAUAGAAGAAGAGUUCGACCACGAGUUGAAAGGUGGCAAGAAGUGUAGGAUCAUGAGCACUAGCCAAAAACUAGCCGUAGUCACCAUCGAGACGAACCGUUCAAACCAGGUAUGAGAGCUUUGCUUAAGGCCAUAAAAAACUGAUGAAGACGACAAACCAUGCCGUCAGGAAGAGAAUACCCAGGUGGUGGCUACAUGUGGACCUCAUGCAACUCAACAUUUAAGGAAGGCAUUUUUGACAUCAAGCUGAGAGACAGACCAGUGGCGAACAUAAGCCACAAUGAGAAGUGUGCGAAGGCCACGAGAGCAAAUCUUUGUAGUCUUGGCCAUAUUCCCGAGGAAAGCCUUACGCCACUAGGUGAGCUUUGUAACACUCAAGAGAACCAUUAGUUUAUUAACAUUAUAGAUGCACUUACAAGCGAUGGGACGAGAGGAAGAGAAAUGACAUCCCACGUGCCGAUGCGCAUAAGAGAAACAAUCUCCUCUACAAUCGCAUGCAGCCAUUCGAGAUGAACAAAUGCGUCAUGAUAAGAAGUCGUCUCAAGAAAAGCGACGCCAGAAUAACCAUAGUAGUCAAUAGGCGGAAGCGAGAGCUCGGAAGCCAUAAGUAGGCCGAGUUGGAGGCGGUGCAUUGCCAACAGGAGAGGACAUUGUAGUCGAGGGAGAUGGCUCGUCAGAAGGAUCCAUAACACGCGGACAAGUGUAGUGAAGAAGAUAAUGAAGGCGAAUCAUCGGGGAAGCCUCAUGGACGAGCCAGGUGAGGUAGCCUAAGUAAUGAACGAGGUGGGAAAGCCGCAUGUGACAAUGUGUGGGGUCUAUAACAGUAUUACGGGAGGACACGCUGGGAUAGGUGGGUGAGGGCAAUAAAUGAGUGAUAAGUGUAUCGGGAAAAUUGAGGGAAGAAGUAUCCUCAAUUGGGUGGUGGGGGGCGAAGCAGAGGAUGGAUGUGCAUAAGAAGGAUGAGACUCAAUGAGAAGUCACAUCUUGAGAAAUGCGCAUCCGAUGACUGACAAGAUCCCAACACCGAUAGCCCUUGUGCUCAUCACUGUAACCUAAGAAGACAUUCAAUAGAUUGAUCAGAUAGUUUGGUGCGUGAAGAACGUAGCGAAGACAACCAAACAAAGUGUUUAGUACUCCAUCCGUCCGAAAAUACUUGUCAGAGAAAUGGAUGGAUCUAGAAAUAGCAUAGUUCUAGAUACAUCCAUUUUUAUCCAUUGGGGUGGGGGGGGGGGAGGCGAAGCAGAGGAUGGACAUGCAUAAAAGGACGAGAUUCAAUGAGAAGUCACAUCUCGAGAACUACGCAUCCGACGACUGACAAGACCCCAACACCGAUGGCCCUUGCUCAUCACUAUAACCUAAGAAGACAUUCAACAUGUUGAUCGGACAGUUUGGUGCUUGAAGAAUGUAGCCAACACAACCAAACAAAGUGUUUAGUAAUCCAUCCGUCUGAAAAUACUUGUCGGAGAAAUGAAUGUAUCUAACAUAUUUCAGUUCUAUACAUCCAUUUUUAUCCAUUUGUGUGACAAGCAAUUCUGGACGGAUGGAGUUGUUAGGGGAAUGCCCACAAAGACGCUCGAGAGGAAUGUCACCAUGUAGAGCAGAGGAGGGAUGAUUGUUGAUGAGAUAGGUGGCUACGAUCAUCAAUGCCGCCUCAUGAAGGUGGCGAUGCUUGCGCUUACCAACACUAUUCUGACCACGAGCACAAGACAAGAGAAUUGAGCAAGUAUGCUUUUCUCAGUAAGGAAUUCAUGCAACAAAUGAGGGAUAUACACACAAGCAGAAUCUACAAGAAAGACAUGGAUAUGAGUGGAAAACUGAGUAUGAAUCAAGGCGGCAAACUUCUUACAAAUAGACCUCACUACAAGAAGGCAUAAAAUAUAUCGACUUGUGUCGAGAGAAAUCAUUAUAAAGAUAAUAUAGUGGCGAUGGCCUCCUUUCGAGGCAAAGGUGGCUGGAUCCCAAACAUUAGAGUGAAAAGAUAAAAAAGAUGCCGAGACAGAGUCUCGCUCUAAGGAUAAGGUAAUUGAACAUGUUUACCCAACCAACAAUCUUGGUUGUCUAAAGACACAUUACCAGUGACAAAUCCAAGGAGACCACGUCGAACUAAGGAUGAGAGUCAAGAACCACACAUGCGAUUGUGACUGCGACGAUCAUGCCAGAACGAGUGGGUACACGAGGUAAGUGAGUCGAACAGGCUGGCAGUGGUGGUAGCGGAGGAAGGCGAAGCCACACUCUAGAGGGCGCGUGAGCCAUAGCGUCGAAAUGAGUUGUCUGUUAAGUAUCAUUAGCAGUAAGAAUAUGAACAGGAGAAUUUAGAGGUCCAAUGGAGGACAACCUGGAAGAAUCGUAAGUCAUAUGAAAAGAUGCUUCAGUACCAAGGAUCCAUGGUGGUGUGCCUGAUUGUGUAAAAAGUAGUCUAUCGAUACCAAAAGCAUCAGUAGCAAAACCUGCAAAACUUGUGGAUGAAGAGCCAAAAGAAGCAUCUAGCAGGCACUGAAGCAACUAUUUGAUUUGAAUCGUCUUGCAUGACAAGGGGAGGCUAAGGUAGGUGCACAGGAUCGAUCGAACACAUGAGAAGCUUUGCUCGAUCACUGGAAGAUCAACAUUGCCCCAAUGGCUUGGCGCAAAGGAGCACUUGUCGGAAGUUGGUGCAUAAGCCUGAUGCGCCUGAUAGUGUUUUCACCCCUUCCCACACCUCCCGCGCAUUGUUCGUUUCCCGCCAAUUCGGCUUGGCAUCCUUCCCCUGUUUGCGAGUUCCGUGCCACUGACUUGAUCCGACAUCCCAUGUUCUCCCACCGUGCAUCCCGCGCCUUGGCGGUAGGUAGCGUUGUGCUCUCGGUCGUGUCUAAUGGGUUAGUCAUUGCGGUGUCGACUGCCUGUGCGGCUAUGGCGGCGCGCAACAGGUAACAUGAGAUGUGGGACUGAGGCAUCACACAUAGCAACCCAAAUUCAGGUGAAGGAUGCCCAGCCGGACUGGUAGGGAGCGGAGAGCACACAUGAGGUGUGGUGGAAGGUAUGAAAACAUUGUUGGGAGCGGACUGUCGUUGCCGUCGUUUGUUGUACUUGGAGACAAGCGUCGUGGGGAUGGCGAUUGGGGAAGGCGAGAAGAUGGCACUAGGAGGAGAAAGGCAUCAUUUGCCACCGUACACAGUAUGUGCGUCAGUCAUGAUGGUGGACGGUUGUGGGCAGAUAUUGUAUCUGCAUGUGGAUUUGUUACUAGGGUUUGUUGGAUCAUAGUUAUGAUUUGUGCUAGAUAACUUCCUUUAAAGAUUGAAGCUGGAGAACUUUAGGGUGUAGUAUGAUCAACCUGAGAUAUAUUGAAUUUAUAUAGGUAUAAUAUGAUUGGCAUGAGUGUGGUAUUGGUGGACUAUUGGAUCAUCUUGGAUUUUACUACUUGGAUUCUAGGUUGGAGGUAACUUGGCACUUGGAUUUGUGAUAUUUUGUAGCUUGUAUGUGCACCAUAUGGAUAUGGGCAUGUAGAUGAUAAAUGGAUCGGAGUUGGUAGACUUUGAUGGUUUUGCUAGCCCUCAUAUGUAUUGGACUUAGAUAACUAUGAUACUAGGCUUGGUUGGAUCAUAGUUAUGAUUUGUGCUGGAUUCCUUAGUUUGAAGAUUGAAGUUGGAGAACUUUAGGGUGUAGAGUUAUCAAUGUGAGAUAUAUCAGAUUUGUUUAGGUACAGUAUGAUUGGAAUGAGUGCAAUAUUGGUGGACUAUUUGGAUCAUCUUGGAUAUUGCUACUUGGAUUCUAGGUUUAAGAUAACUUGGGCACUUGGAUUUGUGAUAUUUUGACCUAAGCUUAGUAGCUUGUAUGUGCCCCAUAUGAAUAUGAGCCAUGGAGAGGAUACAAAUGGAUCGGAGUUGGUAGAUUUUGAUGAUUUUGCUAACCCUCCCCAAGAAUAUUAUGAGUACAACAUCAUCAUGGGAGGAGGAUUUGAAUUAAUUAGAAUAGAUGACAAUUUUAAUGUUAUGUGCCUUUUUGGAGCAGUGGAUCUCGCUUUUAUUAUGUGUUUGUGCCACUUCAGAUGCAAUAGUAGUAGGAGAGUAGUACAUAUGAACCUUGGAACUAUUUGGAUUUAUUUAGGUGAUUGUGAUCUUGAAAAAAAUCUCAUGGAUAAAUAACUUCUAAUUUUUGUAUCUAUAGUCACCUAGUGGAAGUUUGCUUUAUAAAUUUGGACUUGGGUAACCAUGAUACUGGGCUUGGUUGGAUCAUGGUUAUGAUUUGUGCUAGAUUCCCUCCCACCUUUGAAGAUUAAAGUUGGAGAACUUUUUGGGUCUAGUAUGAUCAACCUGAGAUAUAUUGAAUUUAUAUAGUUGUAGUAUACAAUGUUUGUCCUCCUGUCACCAACCCGGGAUACAUUGUGGGGAUGGGGUUCAUGAUCCAAAGGAGUUUCAGUUCGAUGAUUUUAUGAUGGUUCCAACUUAGAUGUGUUUCCAGCCUAGAAAUGAGUUCUUUGCUCAGCCUCGUGGUAUUUCCUCCUGUGGAAGAGGUGGCUGGGUUAGUAGAAGUCAAGGUGGUCGUGGAGGGUUGUGGAGGGAAAACCACGCAUGACUCAACCCAAUGUAUAAGAAGAAAUAUGAUUUUGACCAUGCGAAUGGAAAUACAUGUACUUGCAGUGCCAAAGGAAACAAAUGUUAAUUUAGGGGAUUCUGGUACGAAGCCACCUUGCAAGAGGUUAUUGAGUGCAGGCAACCCUGUGUUGUUGAAGGACCCUUCCUUGGCGUCGGGGGAAAUGAAGUGACACGGGUCUUAAGACUGUGAGGGCAAAAUUGGGACGAGUGACUCAGCUCAGGGUUCCUCUAUGCAAGUUCAAGUGAAAAGGCAGAGGAUGGCAGGGCAUGCCGCUCUUGAUAGCGUUUACAUCGCUUCCUCAUACAUCUCGUGCAAUUUUUGUUUCCUGCUGUUUCAACUUGGCGUCCUUACCUUGUUUGCGGGUUAUGUGUCACGGACUUCGUUCCGCAUCCCGCGUUCCCUUGCUGGGCGUCCCUAGCCUUGGUGACAGGUAGCGACGUGCACUUGGGCGCUUGGCGUCCUUGGGUAAGUUCGGGGGCGGUGCCCAAGCUUGCAGCUAUGGUGACAACUUGCAUGGGAGCAUAUGAUGUAGGAAUAAGGCAGCACAUGAGUAACUCGCAUCCAAGGAAAUGAUACCUAGUCGGACAUGCAGGCAAUGGAGAGUACGCGGGAGGUGUGGGUAGGGGUGAAAACGUUGCCGGAAGCGUACUGCAACUGCCGUUAAUUAGCCUUUAGAUCCAGAGUCGAGUGGCGAGGGUAUGGCGAUAGAGGAAGCGGGGAAGAUUCUUUCCUUUGAAGAUUGAAGUUGGAGAACUUUCGGGUGUAGUAUGGUCAACCUAAGAUAUAUCGGAUUUAUAUAGGUAUAGUAUGAUUGGCAUGAGUGCGGUUUUGGUGGACUAUUGGAUCAUCUUGGAUAUUACUACUUGGAUUCUAGGUUGAAGUUAACUUGGGCACUUGGAUUUGUGAUAUUUUGACCUAAGCUUAGUAGCUUGUCUGUGCCCCAUUGGAUCAUUUUGGAUAUUACUACUUGGAUUCUAGGUUGGAGGUAACUUGGGCACUUGGAUUUGUGAUAUUUUAACCUAAGCUCUGUAGCUUGUAUGUGUCCCAUAUGGAUAUGAGCAUGAGAUUAUACAAAUGGGUCGAAGUUGGUGGACUUAGAAAACUAUGAUACUAGGCUUGGUUGGAUCAUAGUUAUGAUUUUUGUUAGAUUCCUUUGAAGAUUGAAGCUGGAGAACUUUAGCGUGUAGUAUGAUCAACUUGAGAUAUAUCGGAUUUAUAUAGGUAUAAUAUAUUAUUGGCAUGAGCGUGGUAUUGGUGGACUAUUGGAUCAUCUUGGAUAUCACUACUUGGAUUCUAGGUUGGAGGUAGCUUGGACACUUGGAUUUGUGAUAUUUUUACCUAGUAGCUUGUAUGUGCCCCACAUUGAGAUGAGCAUGGAGAUGAUACAAAUGGAUCGGAGUUACUAGACUUUGAUGAGUUUGCUAGCCCUCCUCAUGUGUAUUGGACUUAGAUAACUAUGAUACCAGGCUUGGUUGGAACAUUGUUAUAGUUUUGUGCUAGAUUCCUUUGAAGAUUGAAGCAGGAGAACUUUAGGGUGUAGUAUGAUCAACCUGAGAUAUAUCUGAAUUAUAUAUGUAUAGUAUGAUUAGUAUGCGUGCGGUAUUGGUGGACUAUCGGAUCAUCUUGGAUAUUACUGCUUGAAUUCUAGGUUGGAGAUAACUUGGGCAUUUGGAUUUGUGAUAUUUUGACCUAAGCUUAGUAGCUUGUAUAUGCUCCAGAUGGAUAUGAGCAUGGAGAUGAUACAAAUGGAUCGGAGUUGGUAGACUUCUAUGAUUUUGCUAACUCUCCCCAAAAAUGUUAUGAGUACACAUCAUGGGAGGAUGAUUUGGAUUAAUUAGAAUAGAUGGCAAUUUCAAUGGUAUGUGCCUUUUUGGAGCAGUUGAUCUCGCUUUUAUUAUGUGGUUGUGCUACUUCAGAUGCAAUAGUAGUAGGAGAGUAGUACUUAUGAACCUUGGAACAAUUUGGAUUUAUUUAGGUGAUUGUGAUCUUGAAAAAAUCUCGUGGAUACAUAACUUCUAAUUUUUGUAUCUGUAGUCAUCAAGUGGAAGUUUUCUUUAUAAAAUUGGACUUGGGUAACCAUGAUACUGAGCUUGGUUGGAUCAUGGUUAUGAUUUGUGCUAGAUUCGCACCUUUGAAGAUUAAGGCUGGAGAAGUUUUGGGUCUAGUAUGAUCAACCUGAGAUAUAUUGAAUUUAUAUAGUUGUAGUAUACAAUGUUUGUUCUCCUAUCUCCAACCCGAGAUACAUUGUGGGGAUGGGGUUCAUGAUCCAAAGGAGUUUUAGUUCGAUGAUUUUAUGAUGGUUCCAACUUAGAUGUGUUUCCAGCCUAGAAAUGAGUUCAUUGCUCAACCUCAUGGUAUUUCCUCCUCUGGAAGAGGUGGCUGGGUUAGUAGAAGUCAAAGUGGCCGUGGAGGGAAAACUAGGCAUGACUCAACCCAAUGUAUAAGAAGAAAUAUUAUUUUGACCAUGCGAAUGGAAAUACAUGUACUUGCAAUGCCAACGGAAACAAAUGUUAAUUUAGGGGAUUCUGGUACGAAGCCACCUUGCAAGAGGUUAUUCAGUGCAAGCAACCCUGCGUUGGUGAAGGACCCUUGGCGCCGGGGGAAAUGAAGUGACAGGGGUCUUAAGACUGUGAGGGCAAAAUUGGGACGAGUGACUCAGCUCAGGGUUCUUCUAUGCAAGUUCAAGUGAAAAGGCAGAGGAUGGCAGGGCAUGCCGCUCUUGAUAGCAUUUGCAUCACUUCCUCAUACCUCUCGUGCACUUUCCGUUUCCUGCUGAUUCGACUUGGCGUCCUUACCUUGUUUGCGGGUUAUGUGUCAUGGACUUGGUUCCGCAUCCCACGUUCCCUUGCUGGGCGUCCCUAGCCUUGGCGACAGGUAGCGACGUGCACUUGGGCUCUUGGUGUCCUUGGGUAAGUUCGGGGGCGGUGCCCAAGCUUGCAGCUAUGGUGACAACUUGCAUGGGAGCAUAUGAUGUAGGAACAAGGCAGCACACGAGUAACUCGCAGCCAGGGAAAUGAUACCCAGCCGGACAUGUAGGCAAUGGAGAGUACGCGGGAGGUGUGGGUAGGGGUGAAAACGCUGUCGGGAGCGUACUGCCGAUGCCGUUAGUUAGCAUUUAGAUCCAGAGCCGAGUGGUGAGGGUAUGACGAUAGGGGAAGCAAGGAAGAUUCCUUCCUUUAAAGAUUGAAGCUGGAGAACUUUCGGGUGUAGUAUGAUCAACCUAAGAUAUAUUGGAUUUAUAUAGGUAUAGUAUGAUUGGCAUGAGUGUGGUAUUGGUUGACUAUUGGAUCAUCUUGGACAUUACUACUUGGAUCCUAGGUUGGAGGUAACUUGGGCACUUGGAUUUGUGAUAUUUUGACCUAAGCUUAGUAGCUUGUGUGUGCCCCAUAGGAUCAUCUUGGAUAUUACUACUUGGAUUCUAGGUUGGAGGUAACUUGGGCACUUGGAUUUGUGAUAUUUUGACCUAAGCUUGGUAGCUUGUAUGUGCCCCAUUUGGAUAUGAGCAUGGGGAUGAUACAAAUGGAUCGGAGUUGGUAGACUUUUAUGAUUUUGCUAGCCCUCCCCAUAUGUAUUGGACUUGGAUAACUAUGAUACUAGGCUUGGUUGGAUCAUAGUUAUGAUAUUUGCUAGAUUCCUUUGAAGAUUGAAGCUGGAGAACUAUAGGGUGUAGUAUGAUCAACUUGAGAUAUAUCGGAUUUAUAUAGGUAUAAUAUAUGAUUGGCAUGGGUGUGGUAUUGGUGGACUUUUGGAUCAUCUUGGAUAUCACUAUUUGGAUUCUAGGUUGGAGGUAGCUUAGGCACUUGGAUUUGUGAUAUUUUUACCUAAGCUUAGUAGCUUGUAUGCGCCCCAUAUGGAUAUGAGCAUGGAGAUGAUACAAAUGGAUCGGAGUAGACUUUGAUGAUUUUACUAGCCCUCCUCAUGUGUAUUGGACUUACAUCCAGUAACAAGAACCUAGGGGAGACGGGAGGAGUGUCGGCGGGAGGAGUGUCGGCCGCCGAGACGGCUGUCCACAUCGAUGUUGCCGUCGCCUUCCAGGAGCUUCCACCUACCCGCCAUGACGGCCGAUGCGGACUCCUCCUUGGGUGAGUGCUUCCCCCUACAGCAUCUUUCCGGUGGUGACACCCUCAUCCACCACCACGGGGCGACAAGAGCUCAGCCCCUUCCUGAGGGUCCCGUCCUCAACAUGCUCCAAAGCUCCAUGGGUACUGGUAAGCGCCCAAAUUCCUGAUACAAGCUGCUACACAACUGUUCUAUGUUUUUCAUGGAUCCGAACAAAAAUACUAAGCAAAUUGCCGCCGAGAUGCUGGUUAAGGUGAUUCCCACCAUCACUUGUGCGUUCUCCCUGUUGGAUUGGUCAUUUAUGAUUGAUUUCGGGUCUCUUUUGCCUGCAGAUCCGUAGUUCUUCCUGUCACUGGUCUGUAUCUGUUACCGCACUCAUCGAUCUGUGGGUGCUCCUUAUUUUGGUUGAUCCCCUCGUCGGUUGGUCGUUGGAUCCGUGGCGGCCUUCAAGUCUUCAUCCACGUCCAAGGACCUGCAGGUUAUGGUUCCCACUAUCAAACAUUGUAGUCUGAAAACAUACGUUGUACUUUAUUCGCUCAUACUCUGUCCCCAGAAGCUUUUAUGCAUUUGGUAGGACCUAAACUCUAUUUGCAUUCAGAAAUAUUUCUGCUAAAUACUUGAUUUAUGUACGUUUCAUAAAAUGUAUGAAAAAUGUGGUUGGUUUUCCCUUGUCCCUGAAAUUUAAAGCUUUGUUGAAUUACUGUACAGUGAUCAGAUCAAUUCGAUCAUGCAUUGCCUGUGUGUUAUUAUUCUUCGUCAGUUUUGUUCUGAAACGGAUGGGGACAAAAGCACACUAUCACAUACCCUUCAUGUUUUUUAGGUGAAAAACGUCAGGGAAAGAAUUUGUUGUGGUUAAUUUUUCCAAGUUAAAUGACGCCGUAUGUAUGUGUACAUACUUGUGUUGGACUGUUAUGAAGCAUAUAUUCAGUCACAGUUAGUAGACGGGAUCUGUGUGCAUUCACGAACCAGCUAAUUUGUACCCUGUUUGUUUUUCUUCACAUUCACUGAUAAGAUCCUACUAAAUGAGUGAGUGCAUAAAUCGAUUGGUCACUUGUGUAAGCUCUACUUGCAUUGGCGAUUAUUUCUGCUCAACUAAUACACUCGCUGGCUGGGAUUUGUAUUAGUAAAUAUGUCUGUCUCUGUGAUUCACAUACUUGUUUGUUACACCACUGAAGAACAAAACGGAAGUAAAUUAAAGCUGCAUGAAACAAAAAUGCAUUACUACUCUCCUGUGCUUUACUACUCUGUUUCCUCUGCUCUUGGUAACUUCAGUUCAGUUCAGCGGGUGUGAAACCAAAGAUGCAUUCACAUGUCUGUAACUUUGUAUCUUGGUUCUGUUUUUAUUGUUAGUUCCAAAGAUAUAGUCACUUCUUUCUGACUUCAAACUCUGUAACAUGUCUACUCUUCGUUUAGAUUUUUUUUAUUCCAGUAGUGUUGCUGUAAGUAAGCAGGUUUCUUAUGGGGAAUGGAGAUGAGUCUCGUGAAGACGGUGAGCGGAAAGGAGACAAGGAUGGCGACUUGAUGCUCCUUGGAGACGUCCUCUGGAGGUUUAUGACAAAGUGGAGAUGGAGGACUCCCGACGACAAAUGGAUGACACCGAGCUCUUGGUUCCAGCUCUUGGUUCAGAGUUGGACGAGUCCGCUUGCCGGAGCCCCGCCGCCUGCCCGUUUCGAGCCGCCCACCUCGCUCAGCAAUUGCGACCCGUCCUCCAUACACACCCUACCGCCUAGCUAGUGUCCGGGAGGCGGCGUGAGACGUGUUCGCUGCGGAACAGUGACCCCGGCCUGUUCGUGAGCUCGUGGGACUGCCUCACGCGGUCAGUCCACGGGGAUCGGGCGACGGCGUCUGGUUCUGAACGGCGAUGGAUGCCCGCGUGCCACUUGGAGAAGAGCACAAGAUGUUCAGGUAGGCUUAUCUCUCUGGGUGGACUGGUCUCCGCCGGCCGCAGGGCGCAGGCCAGGUGUUUGUGGAUAUGCCGCAGGAGGGGAACCAGUGCCAGGAUAAUAUCUACGUUUCUGUUGGAUAUUCUUAGGGUGUAGGAAGUGGUCUUGGACUCUUGGUGUUGGUGGUGUUGAAAUGCCAUGCCAAAUUGUUUUAGUUUCUGAGAAGCCAUUUUCUUCUGGUAUAGUACCUACUUUCAGAAAAAUCAGAGUCCACUCACCACGUCAACAAUUUGGAUGUGGCCAUCCUAUCAGGAGAGGUUCCUUGUACAACUUCUCAACUACAUAGUCAUUCAUGAAGUCUGAAUACUACGACUCGCUGCUCAGAAAAG